Camellia sinensis is the source of this 215-nucleotide non-coding RNA. Lineage: Eukaryota; Viridiplantae; Streptophyta; Magnoliopsida; Ericales; Theaceae. The record is from RefSeq and is a predicted model, not a curated record.
GUUAUAAAUGGGUUAGAACUUACAGAAGAUGCUGUUAAAGAAUUCAUAGCAAAGCAGGUGGUGUUUUACAAGAAACUGCACAAAGUGUACUUUGUUCAUGCCAUUCCAAAGUCUCCUUCUGGAAAGAUAUUGAGAAAAGAUCUGAGAGCCAAACUAGCCAUGUCCGCAGCCUCUCAAAUUCCCUAGAAACUAUAUAUAUGUAUCUGUUUGAUUUC